Molecule: ribosomal RNA, 301 nt
Filed under: uncultured bacterium
Lineage: Bacteria
Description: partial 16S ribosomal RNA
Rfam family: Bacterial small subunit ribosomal RNA
Source: RNAcentral
CAGCAGCCACGGUAAUACGAAGGGGGCUAGCGUUGCUCGGAAUGACUGGGCGUAAAGGGCGCGUAGGCGGCGAUCAAAGUCAGGCGUGAAAUUCCUGGGCUCAACCUGGGGGCUGCGCUUGAUACUUGGUUGCUUGAGUGGGGAAGAGGGUCGUGGAAUUCCCAGUGUAGAGGUGAAAUUCGUAGAUAUUGGGAAGAACACCGGUGGCGAAGGCGGCGACCUGGUCCUUGACUGACGCUGAGGCGCGAAAGCGUGGGGAGCAAACAGGAUUAGAUACCCCCGUAGUCCCUGUCUCUUAUAC